This 407-nucleotide ribosomal RNA is filed under the name uncultured bacterium. Its description in RNAcentral is "partial 16S ribosomal RNA". It matches the Rfam family "Bacterial small subunit ribosomal RNA", at positions 28 to 526 of the family's 1533-position model. The record is from RNAcentral.
GACGAACGCUGGCGGCGUGCCUAAUACAUGCAAGUAGAACGCAGUUGCGAACGGGUGAGUAACGCGUAGGUAACUGCCUCAUAGCGGGGGAUAACCAUUGGAAACGCUAGCUAAUACCGCAUACUGUUAGAUGGACCUGCUUUGUAUUUGCUAGUUGGUGAGGUAAAUGCUCACCGGGGCGACGAUACAUAGCCGGCCUGAGAGGGUGAGCGGGCACACUGGGACUGAGACAAGGGCCAGACGGCUAAGGUAGGCAGCAGUAGGGAAUGUUCGGGAAUGGACGGAAGUCUGACCGAGCAAAGCCGCGGGAGUGAAGAAGGGGUUCGGAUCGUUAAGGUCUGUUGUUAGAGAAGCGGUAACUAAACAGAAAGGGACGGCUAACUACGUGCCAGCCGCCGCGGUAAUAC